UCAAGUGACUAAGUGUAUGUGGUGGAUGCCUUGGCGAUCACAGGCGAUGAAGGACGUAGUAGCUUGCGAUAAGCUGCGGGGAGCCGGCAAACGGGCUUUGAUCCGCAGAUUUCCGAAUGGGGGAACCCACCGACGUAGGUCGGUAUCACGCACUGAAUACAUAGGUGCGUGAGGCGAACGGAGCGAACUGAAACAUCUAAGUAGCUUCAGGAAAAGAAAUCAACCGAGAUUCCGAAAGUAGCGGCGAGCGAAAUCGGAUCAGCCCAGCACUCGAUAGCAGCCAACUUACGGGAACGGUCUGGAAAGUCCGGCCAUAGAGGGUGAUAGCCCCUUACUGGAAAAGGCAGCUGUGGUACUAAGUGUGCGAUAAGUAGAGCGGGACACGUGACAUCCUGCUCGAAGAUGGGGGGACCAUCCUCCAAGGCUAAAUACUCGUGAUCGACCGAUAGCGUACCAGUACUGUGAAGGAAAGGUUAAAAGAACCCCGGGAGGGGAGUGAAAUAGAUCCUGAAACCGCAUACAUACAAACAGUAGGAGCCUCGUUAAGGGGUGACUGCGUACCUUUUGCAUAAUGGGUCAGCGACUUACGUUUAAUGGCGAGCUUAACCGUAUAGGGGAGGCGCAGCGAAAGCGAGUUCGAACAGAGCGUUCAGUCGUUAGGCGUAGACCCGAAACCAGAUGAUCUAUCCAUGGCCAGGUUGAAGGUGUGGUAACACACACUGGAGGACCGAACCGACUAGUGUUGCAAAAUUAGCGGAUGAGCUGUGGAUAGGGGUGAAAGGCUAAACAAAUCUGGAGAUAGCUGGUUCUCCCCGAAAACUAUUGAGGUAGUGCCUCGUGUAUGACUCCAGGGGGUAGAGCACUGUUAUGGCUAGGGGGACAUGGCGUCUUACCAAACCAUGGCAAACUCCGAAUACUUGGAAGUUUGAGCACGGGAGACAGAGCACCGGGUGCUAACGUCCGGACUCAAGAGGGAAACAACCCAGACCGCCGGCUAAGGUCCCUAAUAUUGACUAAGUGGAAAACGAAGUGGAAAGGCUAAGACAGUCAGGAAGUUGGCUUAGAAGCAGCCAUCCUUCAAAGAAAGCGUAAUAGCUCACUGAUCGAGUCUUUCUGCGCGGAAGAUGUAACGGGGCUAAGUCAAUAACCGAAGCCGCGGAUUCACACUUAUGUGUGAGUGGUAGGGGAGCGUUCUGUAAGCCUGCGAAGGUGACUCGUAAGGGUUGCUGGAGGUAUCAGAAGUGCGAAUGCUGACAUGAGUAACGUUAAAGCGGGUGAAAAGCCCGCUCGCCGUAAGCCCAAGGUUUCCUGCUCUACGUUCAUCGGAGCAGGGUGAGUCGGCCCCUAAGGUGAGGCUGAGAAGCGUAACUGAUGGGAACAAGGUUAAUAUUCCUUGACCACCGCUGAAUGCGAAGGGGGGACGGAGUAUUGAAGAUCAUCCGGGUGUUGGAUAUCCCGGUUUGCGAGCGUAGGAGGCUGACAGGCAAAUCCGUCAGCGAAUCUCCGAGGCGAAGCAUCGAGCUCUCUUUUGAGCGAAGUGAUUGGAUGUGCUUCCAGGAAAAGCCUCUAAGCUCCAGUUCAGCGGGACCGUACCGCAAACCGACACUGGUGGGCGAGCUGAAUAUGCUCAGGCGCUUGAGAGAACUCAGGAGAAGGAACUCGGCAAAUUGACACCGUAACUUCGGGAUAAGGUGUGCCUUUGUAGCGUGGAGGGAGAAACACCCCGAGCGCGAAGAGGUCUCAGAUAAUCGGUGGCUGCGACUGUUUAUUAAAAACACAGCACUCUGCAAAGACGAAAGUCGACGUAUAGGGUGUGAUGCCUGCCCGGUGCUGGAAGAUUAAUUGAUGGGGUGCAAGCUCCUGAUCGAAGUCCCAGUAAACGGCGGCCGUAACUAUAACGGUCCUAAGGUAGCGAAAUUCCUUGUCGGGCAAGUUCCGACCUGCACGAAUGGCAUAACGAUGGCCACACUGUCUCCUCCUGAGACUCAGUGAAGUUGAAGUGU
This 2003-nucleotide ribosomal RNA is filed under the name human gut metagenome. Its description in RNAcentral is "bacterial LSU rRNA". It matches the Rfam family "Bacterial large subunit ribosomal RNA", at positions 3 to 2050 of the family's 2925-position model. The record is from RNAcentral.